This 2427-nucleotide small RNA is filed under the name Pongo abelii (Sumatran orangutan). Its description in RNAcentral is "processed transcript". Lineage: Eukaryota; Metazoa; Chordata; Mammalia; Primates; Hominidae. The record is from RNAcentral.
AUAAUCUUAUCUUAUUGAAGAGAGGACUCAGUAACAAUUGCUUUUCCUGUUUCUGUAUAUCAUAAACGACGUGGUAUUAUUUAAUUAAACAACCAAUCAUUAAACAACAAAUUAUUAAAAAUGCAUCCUUUAAUACUCUUAUUAAACAAUAAACCAUGUCAUUUUAAAUGUAAGGUAGUUGUAUGUUGUAUGUUAAGAUAUGGAGAGCAAAUACUGUUUACUAUGGAAACUUGAUAUAAAUAUUCUCUGCCCCAAGGAAUAGUACACUUAUAUAAAAUUAUAUUAGCUUAAAGUGUGUAAUUCUGAUAUACUCAGCUUUUGUUACAUAACAUAUUCAGGAAUAUAACCCCUACAAUAACUACCUAAGUGUAUAAAAAGAAAGCUGUCUGUUAAAUAAUUUGAUACUCAACUUUCAUGGUUUUAUAUGCCUAAUGCCUAUUCUUCAAAUAUAUGUUUUGGUUUGCCUUUUGGUUCUGUUUUGGCAAAAGAAACGAAUUUGGGAGAUUCUGAUUAGAGGGAGAAAAUUGGCUUCUAUAUGGAACAGAAAAUAAUGUGUUCCAGAAUUUUUAAUACUCUCAUGAGGGUUAAAUCACUUAACUCUUUGUAUCUGACCUAUUUAGGAAAUGCGACAUGCCUUUUGUUUUUUUUGUUUUUGAGAUGGAGUCUCGCUCUGUUGCCAGGCUGGAGUGCAGUGGCACAAUCUCGGCUCACUGCAACCUCCGCUUCCCUGGGUUCAAGCAAUUCUCCUGCCUCAGCCUCCCAAGUAGCUGGGACUACAGGCACCCGCCACCACGCCUAGAAUUUUUGUAUUCUUAGUAGAGACGGGGUUUCACCAUGUUGGCCAGGAUGAUCUUGAUCUGUAGACCUUGUGAUCCACCUGCCUCAGCCUCCCAAAGUGCUGGGAUUACAGGCAUGAGCCACUGCGUCCGGCCUCGACAUGCCAUUUUAAAGCAUGACGUAUCCCAGACUUUACUCAAGGCAACACUGGACAGUGUUGUAGAAGAAUGUGUCAGCUUUGUGGGAGUGGAUAUUAACAUCUGUUCAGAAGUUUUGUUAAGGCAUAUUGCAGGACUCAAUGCCAACAGGGCCAAAAAUAUUAUUGAAUGGCGAGAGAAAAAUGGACCCUUUAUCAACCGAGAACAGCUGAAGAAAGUGAAAGGGCUGGGCCCAAAAUCCUUCCAACAGUGUGCUGGCUUCAUCAGAAUCAACCAGGAUUAUAUCCAAACAUUUUGCAGUCAGCAAACUGAAACUUCAGGCCAAAUUCAAGGAGUUGCUGUGACAUCUUCAGCAGAUGUUGAGGUCACAAAUGAGAAGCAGGGCAAAAAGAAGAGCAAAACUGUAGCGAAUGUUUUACUGAAGCCAAAUCCUUUGGACCAAACUUGUAUUCAUCCAGAAUCAUAUGACAUAGCAAUGAGGUUUUUAUCAUCCAUUGGAGGGACACUGUAUGAGAUUGGAAAGCCUGAAAUGCAACAAAAAAUAAAUUCAUUCCUUGAAAAGGAAGGAAUGGAGAAAAUUGCAGAAAGAUUGCAAACAACAGUACACACCUUACAGGUCAUCAUAGAUGGUCUCAGCCAGCCUGAAAGCUUUGACUUUCGAACAGAUUUUGAUAAACCUGAUUUUAAGAGAAGCAUAGUAUGCCUGGAAGAUCUGCAGGUUGGGACCGUUCUUACAGGCAAAGUUGAGAAUGCCACUCUCUUUGGAAUUUUCGUGGAUAUAGGAGUGGGGAAAUCUGGGCUGAUUCCCAUACGAAAUGUAACUGAAGCAAAACUUUCAAAAACAAAGAAGAGAAGGAGCCUUGGACUGGGCCCCGGAGAAAGAGUGGAAGUCCAAGUACUCAACAUUGACAUCCCCCGAUCUAGGAUUACUCUGGACCUUAUUCGGGUGUUAUGAGUAUCCCGCAAAGGCCAGACACUGAUUUUAUUUUCUCAUUUCCACAGAUUGACAAGGAUAAGUCAGUUGUUUGUAAACUCUAGGUAGCAGAUGAGAAAUAAUUCACUUAAUAUCAGAAAUAUUUUCCAAACACUUUCCUUUAUUUUUUCUUCUGAAUAAAUAGAAAACCAACAGUUUGAUUUCCUUUCCCCUUAAAGGAAACAACUAAUACACAUUCUUACAUGGCUUUAUGUAGUAAUAGUUUUCUGACUAAAAUUUUGUUUUUUAUUUUUUGUAAUUUAUCUAUAACUCCUUUUGGUUUUUGUAUAACAGAUUGCUUAACUUCUACUUGCCAACAUCUGCCUUGCUGGACUUGUAUGGGAUUGUCUUCUUGAUUUGAAUUGUACAGUCUUUGUUGACACAGUAGGGCUGGGCAGUGUUUAAUCCUUCCAUUUUAUAGAUUUUUUUUUUUUUAAUCUGGCCUUUUGGACUUCAUUCAUAAUUUUGCAAUAAUCUCUUUUCCCUUGUCAUGCAAGCCAGAAAUAUACAGUAAAACAG